AGAGUUUGAUCCUGGCUCAGAUUGAACGCUGGCGGCAUGCUUUACACAUGCAAGUCGAACGGCAGCAUAGGUGCUUGCACCUGAUGGCGAGUGGCGGACGGGUGAGUAAUGCAUCGGGACGUGUCCGGAAGAGGGGGAUAACUGUUCGAAAGAACAGCUAAUACCGCAUAAUAUCCGAGGAAGAAAGCUGGGGACCUUAGGGCCUGGCGCUUACGGGGCGACCGAUGUCUGAUCAGCUAGUUGGUGGGGUAAAAGCCUACCAAGGCGACGAUCAGUAGCUGGUCUGAGAGGACGACCAGCCACACUGGGACUGAGAAACGGCCCAGACUCCUACGGGAGGCAGCAGUGGGGAAUUUUGGACAAUGGGGGCAACCCUGAUCCAGCAAUGCCGCGUGUCUGAAGAAGGCCUUCGGGUUGUAAAGGACUUUUGUUGGGGAGCAAGGUGCACAGGUUAAGAGCUAGUGUACUUGAGAGUACCCAAAGAAUAAGGACCGGCUAACUACGUGCCAGCAGCCGCGGUAAUACGUAGGGUCCAAGCGUUAAUCGGAAUUACUGGGCGUAAAGAGUGCGCAGGCGGCUUUGUAAGCUUGAUGUGAAAUCCCCGGGCUCAACCUGGGAACUGCAUUGAGGACUGCAAGGCUAGAGUGUAGCAGAGGGGGGUAGAAUUCCACGUGUAGCAGUGAAAUGCGUAGAGAUGUGGAGGAAUACCGAUGGCGAAGGCAGCCCCCUGGGUUAACACUGACGCUCAUGCACGAAAGCGUGGGGAGCAAACAGGAUUAGAUACCCUGGUAGUCC
RNAcentral lists this ribosomal RNA (795 nucleotides) under uncultured bacterium. Its description in RNAcentral is "bacterial SSU rRNA". It matches the Rfam family "Bacterial small subunit ribosomal RNA", at positions 8 to 796 of the family's 1533-position model. The record is from RNAcentral.